UACGGAGGGUGCGAGCGUUGUCCGGAAUCACUGGGCGUAAAGGGCGCGUAGGCGGCCUGAUAAGUAGGGGGUGAAAUCCUGCGGCUUAACCGCAGGGCUGCCUUCUAAACUGUCAGGCUCGAGCACAGUAGAGGCAGGUGGAAUUCCCGGUGUAGCGGUGAAAUGCGUAGAUAUCGGGAGGAAUACCGAUGGCGAAGGCAGGUCUCUGGGCUAUAACUGACGCUCAUGCACGAAAGCGUGGGGAGCAAACAGG
Molecule: ribosomal RNA, 253 nt
Filed under: uncultured bacterium
Lineage: Bacteria
Description: partial 16S ribosomal RNA
Rfam family: Bacterial small subunit ribosomal RNA
Source: RNAcentral